RNAcentral lists this long non-coding RNA (1516 nucleotides) under Mustela putorius furo (domestic ferret). RNAcentral's name for it is "lncRNA (ENSMPUG00000024412.1)". Lineage: Eukaryota; Metazoa; Chordata; Mammalia; Carnivora; Mustelidae. The record is from RNAcentral.
AAAUGUCACCACUGAUGCUUGGUUCUUUUUUCUUUUCUCUUGCCAGUCUGAUGGCCUAAAUCUAUUCUCAUGGGGCAUCGGGUAAGGGAAGCAAGCAGAGUACACAAACAGGAGUGGAGCAAGGUGCCUUUUCCCCCAGUGAGUGUGUCCAAGCAGGAUGUCGGGGCACAUGGGUCCCUACCACAGCCCUGCUCAUCUGAUCUUAACCGACUAAGCAAAACUGUGGAUGGAAACUCCUACAAGUCUGUGACCUGGUUCCAAGAAGCCGAUUUGGGAGCUGAAAGAACAACAGAGACGCAUCCCCAUGACGACUACAGGUCUUCAUUCUGUUGGAAAGAAUUCUGACACGCCUGUCAGGGGAGAGCUUGGCAGAUCACGCUCCCAGUAAAGAAACCCAGGACUAUGUGGAUGGGUCCAACUCAUCUAGGCUCCUCUUUGGCUCCAGUAUCACACAGGUCUUGUCUCGGGGAUUCCUGGAGACCUGGCUAAAGAGCCCAGGGAGCUCUAGCUGGGGCUCAGAACGAACCGACACUUGGGUGUUGGAGUCCGAGAGACCCUGGUUCAGACCUUCAUGUGUCCAAGCCUCAGUUUCUUCGUGUGUGACAAUAAUCAUAAUAAUGUUCUCCUUGCAAGAGUGCCAUGAGGAUUAAAUGCGGUAUUGUAUCUGGAAGCAUUUAACACGGUGCCUGUUACUUAAAAUGGGAUUACUAUGUUUUAGUCUCCUUCCUUCCGCUCAGCUCCUCCAGCUGCUGGUGUAUCCCCUUUCCCUGCUGCAUACAUUUGACACAGUGGAAUCAGGCCAGUGAUACUUGGGGGAUACCAUGGUGGUAAGAAUGAAGAGAGAGAAGAGAAAGUUCGACAGUGUUCGGAACAGCAAUAUCCACUUUUAAAUGAUCUGAGUCUAAACUGAGUGGGCUCCAUUGACUUGCAAGACUGCAGAUACAUAAAUAAACUUGGAGCUGUGGGACUGCUUCCUAGACCUGGACACAGCCAACAAAAUAUCUUGGGGAGUUCAAAAAAAAAUCUAAAUACCAGAGAGAUCAUUGUAGUUUUCCUUUGAUAUUAAUGAUGUGACUCAGUUGCACAGGGCCAUGGUGAAUCUCCUGGGUAAUUGGUUUAAGGGAGAGAUGAUAUUCUUUUAGAUUCAUAGCAGCUUCAGCCACUCUAGUCUAACUAGCAUAGCACAGUGAGAUGCUAUACAUCAUCUUCUGUUUCAAAAUAUCCUAUCUAAACAUCGUGUACAUUGAGUAACGCUUAGCCACUUCUUCUCUUAGCAUCGUAGGAAUGGCUGGAAUCCGCCAAGCCAUAUCUUCUUGUUGGGCAUCCUCAGUUAUCCAUGAUGUCGCAAAACAAACUUGCUUCCUAAACUAUAUAUAUAAAGUGGCUAUUUGCAAAGUAGAUGGUCAAGUCUGUAUCUUAUAUAAGUCAGUAUUCAGAGUUUCUGAUGGCAAUUAUUACUUCCAUGUACAACAUAGCCAAUUCUCCAAUGUAUCCAAUGUGGUCAGAGGGAUGAUUA